This 301-nucleotide ribosomal RNA is filed under the name uncultured bacterium. Its description in RNAcentral is "partial 16S ribosomal RNA". It matches the Rfam family "Bacterial small subunit ribosomal RNA", at positions 509 to 807 of the family's 1533-position model. The record is from RNAcentral.
CAGUCGCCGCGGGAAUACGAAGGGGGCUAGCGUUGUUCGGAAUCACUGGGCGUAAAGCGCACGUAGGCGGAUACUUAAGUCAGGGGUGAAAUCCCGGGGCUCAACUCCAGAACUGCCUUUGAUACUGAAGAUCUUGAGUUCGGGAGAGGUGAGUGGAACUGCGAGUGUAGAGGUGAAAUUCGUAGAUAUUCGCAAGAACACCAGUGGCGAAGGCGGCUCACUGGCCCGAUACUGACGCUGAGGCACGAAAGCGUGGGGAGCAAACAGGAUUAGAGACCCGUGUAGUCCCUGUCUCUUAUAC